AGGAUGAACGCUGGCGGCGUGCCUAAUACAUGCAAGUCGAGCGGUAAGGCCCCUUCGGGGGUACACGAGCGGCGGACGGCUGAGUAACACGUAGGAACGUACCCCAAACUGAGGGAUAACUGCUCGAAAGAGUAGCUAAUACCGCAUGUGCUCUACGGAGUAAAGCUACGGCGGUUUGGGAACGGCCUGCGUCCGAUUAGCUUGUUGGUGAGGUAAUAGCUCACCAAGGCGACGAUCGGUAGCUGGUCUGAGAGGAUGAUCAGCCAGACUGGGACUGAGAACGGCCCAGACUCCUACGGGAGGCAGCAGUAGGGAAUUUUCCACAAUGGGCGAAAGCCUGAUGGAGCAACGCCGCGUGCAGGAUGAAUGCCUUCGGUUGUAAACUGCUUUUAUCUGUGACGAAUAUGACGGUAGCAGAUGAAUAAGGAUCGGCUAACUCCGUGCCAGCAGCCGC
Molecule: ribosomal RNA, 454 nt
Filed under: uncultured bacterium
Lineage: Bacteria
Description: SSU rRNA
Rfam family: Bacterial small subunit ribosomal RNA
Source: RNAcentral